Molecule: ribosomal RNA, 254 nt
Filed under: uncultured bacterium
Lineage: Bacteria
Description: partial 16S ribosomal RNA
Rfam family: Bacterial small subunit ribosomal RNA
Source: RNAcentral
UACGGAGGGUGCAAGGCGUUAUCCGGAUUCACUGGGUUUAAAGGGUGCGUAGGUGGGCUAGUAAGUCAGUGGUGAAAUCUCCGGGCUUAACCCGGAAACUGCCAUUGAUACUAUUAGUCUUGAAUGUUGUGGAGGUAAGCGGAAUAUGUCAUGUAGCGGUGAAAUGCUUAGAUAUGACAUAGAACACCGAUAGCGUAGGCAGCUUACUACACAAAUAUUGACACUGAGGCACGAAAGCGUGGGGAUCAAACAGG